Molecule: ribosomal RNA, 433 nt
Filed under: uncultured bacterium
Lineage: Bacteria
Description: partial 16S ribosomal RNA
Rfam family: Bacterial small subunit ribosomal RNA
Source: RNAcentral
AGCGAACGCUGGCGGCAGGCCUAACACAUGCAAGUCGAACGAACUCUUCGGAGUUAGUGGCGGACGGGUGAGUAACACGUGGGAACGUGCCUUUUGGUUCGGAAUAACUCAGGGAAACUUGUGCUAAUACCGAAUGUGCCCUUCGGGGGAAAGAUUUAUCGCCAUUAGAGCGGCCCGCGUCUGAUUAGCUAGUUGGUGAGGUAACGGCUCACCAAGGCGACGAUCAGUAGCUGGUCUGAGAGGAUGACCAGCCACACUGGGACUGAGACACGGCCCAGACUCCUACGGGAGGCAGCAGUGGGGAAUCUUGCGCAAUGGGCGAAAGACUGACGCAGCCAUGCCGCGUGAAUGAUGAAGGUCUUAAGAUUGUAAAAUUCUUUCACCGGGGACGAUAAUGACGGUACCCGGAGAAGAAGCCCCGGCUAACUUCGUG